Molecule: non-coding RNA, 74 nt
Organism: Pangasius djambal
Lineage: Eukaryota; Metazoa; Chordata; Actinopteri; Siluriformes; Pangasiidae
Source: the annotation of a GenBank genome assembly
GGCAGUGGUACCUCAGUGGUUUAGGCUUUGGAUUACUGCUCAGAAGGUCAGGAGUUCAAGCCCCAGCACUGCCA